AUUGAACGCUGGCGGCAUGCCUUACACAUGCAAGUCGAACGGUAGAGUAGCAAUACUUGAGAGUGGCGAACGGGUGAGUAAUAUAUCGGAACGUGCCCAACUGUGGGGGAUAACGUAGAGAAAUUUACGCUAAUACCGCAUACGAUCUAAGGAUGAAAGCGGGGGAUCGCAAGACCUCGCGCAGUUGGAGCGGCUGAUAUCAGAUUAGCUUGUUGGUGAGGUAAAAGCUCACCAAGGCGACGAUCUGUAGCUGGUUUGAGAGAACGACCAGCCACACUGGGACUGAGACACGGCCCAGACUCCUACGGGAGGCAGCAGUGGGGAAUUUUGGACAAUGGGCGAAAGCCUGAUCCAGCAAUGCCGCGUGCAGGAAGAAGGCCUUCGGGUUGUAACGUAG
Molecule: ribosomal RNA, 397 nt
Filed under: uncultured bacterium
Lineage: Bacteria
Description: bacterial SSU rRNA
Rfam family: Bacterial small subunit ribosomal RNA
Source: RNAcentral